UGGUGGAGUGAUUUGUCUGGUUAAUUCCGUUAACGAACGAGACCUCGACCUGCUAAAUAGUUCGGCGAAUUCUUCGGGAUUCGCGCGCGACUUCUUAGAGGGACUAUCGGUGCGUAGCCGAUGGAAGUUCGAGGCAAUAACA
Molecule: ribosomal RNA, 142 nt
Filed under: uncultured eukaryote
Lineage: Eukaryota
Description: partial 18S ribosomal RNA
Rfam family: Eukaryotic small subunit ribosomal RNA
Source: RNAcentral